Molecule: ribosomal RNA, 209 nt
Filed under: uncultured bacterium
Lineage: Bacteria
Description: partial 16S ribosomal RNA
Rfam family: Bacterial small subunit ribosomal RNA
Source: RNAcentral
UAAUACGUAGGGGGCAAGCGUUGUCCGGAUUCAUUGGGCGUAAAGAGCGUGUAGGCGGCCAGGUAGGUCGGUUGUGAAAACUGGAGGCUCAACCUUCAGAGGUCGACCGAAACCAUCUGGCUAGAGUCCGGGAGAGGAGAGUGGAAUUCCUGGUGUAGCGGUGAAAUGCGCAGAUAUCAGGAAGAACACCCGUGGCGAAAGCGGCUCUC